CAUCUCCUUAUGAUUUAAAAUAUAAGGUUUAAUCUGCCCAGUGAAAUUUUAAAUGGCUGCAGUAUUUUAACUGUACAAAGGUAGCGUGAUAAUUAGUUUUUUAAUUGAAAACUGGUAUGAAUGAUUGGACGAGAAAUAUACUGUUUCAAUAUAAUUUUUAUUGAAUUUUAUUUUUGAGUGAAAAAGCUUAAAUUUAGCUGAAGGACGAGAAGACCCUAUAGAAUUUAAUUUUUAUUUAAAUAUUUAUAUUUUAGUUAAUUAAUUUUAUUAUUUUAAAUAAAUAUUUAAUUGGGGUGAUGUUAGGAUUAAUUUAACUCCUUUUGAUUGGUCCAUUUAUUAAUGAAUAAUUGAUCUAUUUUUGAGUGAUUAAAAGAUUUAAUUACCUUAGGGAUAACAGCGUAAUUUUUUUUAGAGUUCUUAUUGAAUAAAGAGAUUGCGACCUCGAUGUUGGAUUAAAAUUUUAUAAUAGGUGCAGAAGCUUAUUAUUUCGAGUCUGUUCGACUUUUAAAGUUUUACAUGAUCUGAGU
RNAcentral lists this ribosomal RNA (527 nucleotides) under Eucnemidae sp. UPOL RK0342. RNAcentral's name for it is "partial 16S ribosomal RNA". It matches the Rfam family "Bacterial large subunit ribosomal RNA", at positions 1816 to 2610 of the family's 2925-position model. The record is from RNAcentral. Lineage: Eukaryota; Metazoa; Arthropoda; Insecta; Coleoptera; Eucnemidae.